GCACGAUUAUACAGCGAGACUGCGAAUGGCUCAUUAAAUCAGUUAUAGUUUAUUUGAUGGUACAUGCUACUUGGAUAACGGUGGCAACUCUAGCGCUAAUACAUGUCGUUGAUGCCCGACGCAAGGAGGGCGGACUUUAUUAGGUUCAAACCAUCCGGAGCAAUCCGUGUGGCGAGUCAUGAUAACGUAUCGAAUCGCAUGGCCUGCGUGCCGGCGAUGCUUCAUUCAAAUAUCUGCCCUAUCAACUUUCGAUGGUAAGGUCGUGGCCUACCAUGGUGACAACGGGUAACGGGGAAUAAGGGUUCGAUUCCGGAGAGGGAGCCUGAGAAACGGCUACCACAUCCAAGGAAGGCAGCAGGCGCGCAAAUUACCCAAUCCCAACACGGGGAGGUAGUGACAAUAAAUAACGAUGCGGGGCCCUCUGGGUCUCGCAAUUGGAAUGAGUACAAUUUAAAUCCCUUAACGAGGAACAAUUGGAGGGCAAGUCUGGUGCCAGCAGCCGCGGUAAUUCCAGCUCCAAUAGCGUAUAUUAAAGUUGUUGCAGUUAAAACGCUCGUAGUUGAACUUGGGGCCCGGCGGUUGUGGUCCGCCUCGCGGCGUGUACUGCGUGUGCCGGGCUCUGUGGGUGGUGCUCUGCUGCGUGUGUGCCUCGGCGGCGCGCAGGGGGGUGUGCCCGGUUUACUUUGAGGAAAUUAGAGUGUUCAAAGCAGGCGCUUGUGCCGGAAUAGAUUAGCAUGGAAUAAUAAAAUAGGACGAUUGUGGUUCUGUUUUGUUGGUUGUGACGGAACUGCCGUAAUGAUGAAUAGGGACAGUUGGGGGCAUUUGUAUUGACACGCUAGAGGUGAAAUUCUUGGAUUGUGUCAAGACAAACUACUGCGAAAGCAUUUGCCAAGGAUGUUUUCAUUAAUCAGGAACGAAGGUCGGGGGAUCGAAAACGAUUAGAUACCGUUGUAGUCUCGACAGUAAACGAUGCCGGCUCGGGAUUGGCCCUUGUAAGAUUCUCUAACAGGGUCAGCACCGUUUCGAGAAAUCAAAGCUUUUGGGUUCUGGGGGGAAUAUG
Molecule: ribosomal RNA, 1060 nt
Filed under: Moniliella sp.
Lineage: Eukaryota; Fungi; Basidiomycota; Moniliellomycetes; Moniliellales; Moniliellaceae
Description: bacterial SSU rRNA
Rfam family: Eukaryotic small subunit ribosomal RNA
Source: RNAcentral